Long non-coding RNA from Gopherus flavomarginatus (Mexican gopher tortoise), 3481 nucleotides. RefSeq lists it as uncharacterized. The transcript has 2 exons. The record is from RefSeq and is a predicted model, not a curated record. NCBI's taxonomy places the organism in Eukaryota, Metazoa, Chordata, Testudines, Testudinidae.
CGCCGAUAGCCAGCCCGGCAGUCCGAGGGUCGGAGAACGCCACCACAGCACUGAAGACAUCGGGCGCGCCGUUCCCAAAGGCCAGGAAGAAGGAUACUGCUACGUUGUGGGCCAGUCUCAGAUUGGUGGAGAUCGCAGAUAAGUUGGGGCAGAAGCUGGAGCAAGAGAGAAGACAAAAGCAGGUACAAUCGAACGAUUCACAAGUCCUGGAGUUGGUGCAGGGACAAUCCAGUCUGCGUUUUAGCAGCGAGUAAAUGCCAAGGCUUGGGCCAGGCAGGGGCUGGUGACCCAGUGAGGUGUAGACAAGGUGCUGUGGAAAGUUCCUGCACUCCACUGCAUGGACCCCCCCCCACCCAACUCCGCUACUCCAGUCCCACCCACCCUCCACACCCAGCUCUUUCGAUGCCCCUCAGUCCUAACCUGCAGCCCUCCUGCAUCUUAAGUGCAAACCAACAGCCACGAGGGUCCUCCACAGAGCCUGUCAACCUCAUUCGGUUUGUGACUUCUUAGAUUAGAAGCCCCCGUCUCUGUAGGGGACUCCUGAGAGAGGAGUCAGACGCUGCCAGCAGAGCACGGAUCUGCCAUCCCUCUCUCACUGCAAAGGAGGCCAUGCCUGGGGAAUGAGGGUUUGAGGCAGCUCUGGCCAUUACGGCAUCCAGGGCAGUGGUUGCAGGGAGUGUAACCACCCUGCUGGCCACUAGAACAGGUCAGUUUCUAGCCCUGCUCAGGCCUUAACCUUGGCUAGACGGACAAGUGAAGCUGUCCUGGCCAGGAGGUUCUCUGCCUGCAGCACCCCGCUCCCUCUGGGGGGAGGAACCGGGCCCAGCAGCUACUCACAACUUUUCAGCUGUCACCCCCAGGAUAAGGAACAGAUACAGCAGCCAGAGUGCCUGCAAUAAGCCAACAGUGAAUUAGCAAAGGGCAGGAUAGGGGCAAAGAUGAAACCCGGGGGGCUUCUGGGUAAAUUCCCUUCCCCCCCCCCCAAAAAAAAAAAAAACAGGAGAAAAAGGGGACAGAGAGAAGCAGCUAAUGUUUGGCACUUAGCUGGACCCAACACUUUCGGAGCCUCUCCCUGCUCACCCCUGGGUGUCCAUAGGGCAAGGGGCCAGGUCACACCAUGGUGUGUAAUGCCCUGUCUGUAACAGUGGCCAGUGGGUGAGUCACUUCCUCCUUCCAGCUCUCCCUUCGCAACCUUCCCUCAAUCCCUCCCUGCAGGGCCUCCCCAUGGAUGAUCCUUACAUAUAGGGUCACCACCAGCGGCAGCAGCCCCGAGGGGAAGACGCAGAAGACCCCAUUCAGGUAGUUGAGGAAGCCGCUGUCCAUUUGGCAGUCUGGGAUGGUCCAGAUGAAGUGGCACCACUUGGAGCUGUUCUGGGUCCAUACUUCCCAGCACUGCCAACAGAGGAGGAGUCACCAGUCAAGCUCUAGCAACACGCCCUGGAAAGCCAGAGUGCAGCUGAGGCCUACCUGGAAAAGCCUCGGCCUCCUGGGCACUCUGAGCUGGUAGGUAAAUGGCUGCAGGAUGGUGUUUGUUGCCCCAUACUAUUACCCUCAUUAAGAGGCGGUAUGGCCUAGGGGGUAGAGCACUGGCUUGCGGCUCAGGAGACCUGAGUUCUGUUCCUGGCUCUGACUCUAACCUGCUAGGUGACUUUGGGCAAGUCACUGCCUCUUUCUGGGCCUUGGUUUACCCACCUGUAAAAUGGGGAUAAUAGUGGCUUCACUGAUCAAGUGCUUUGAUUUCUAGGGCUGAAAACUGCUCUUACAAUACUCGCUCGUGUCACUUGUAUGACAGUAGGUGCCAAGCACCUGUGAGAGGCACACUCUGCCCUGAGGAACACACAAAUCUAAACGCCAAGAUGAUGAGGGAAAGGAAACUGAGGCACGGAGCGAGGGGCGUACCUUCCUCAAGGUCACCCAGCAGCAAAGUGACAGAGCUGGCAAUGUUACAGGUGCCCAUCACCAUGGUAUCUGACGAGGGCCUCAGCAACACUGCUCAAAGGGGGACCUGGAAUUCUCCAGCCACGCUGCACCCCGGAAGUGGCAACUGCGUCACUGUUGUGGAGACGAGGCUCCAGCAUUUGUCUAAUGCUGGCCAGAGCGUGUGGUGAAAACCCCUCAUUAAAACCCCACUUCUCCCAUCCUUGCUGACGCCUGUGGAGUUGCACCUCUGUGGAGAAUUACAGUUCCCCUUUUUGCCCGCUUUGGUUUGGCCUAGCUACAGUGAAGGCACAGCACGUGAGAACACCUCACCAGCAGCAGGGAUUGAACCUAGGCCCUCUGAAUCUUAACCCAGGAGCCUCUGCUGCUGGUAUGAUUUAUUAUUUGUAUUGUGGUAGUGUCUAGGAGCUGUCCCAGUCAUGGAUCAGGACUCCCUUGCGCUAGGUGCUGUACAAACACAAGAAGGAAAGACAGUCCCUCGGGGAGGGGAGGGGACAGAGCACCACCCUGAGUGGGUGUUGCAUAUACACCAGAGAAAGGAACCAGAUCUGUAACUCGGGGAGGGGGGCAACUGAGCUGCAGUCAGGUUCCCCAAUGUGAUGUUUCUAGGGCAGACUGCUCCUGAUGAGAAUUUUUCAUCCUCAGAGCCCUUGUCUGGGUGGAGGAAUUUCUUAAAUUCUUCCCACACUGGCUUCAUGGGAUCAUUUUACACUCACGCUCACUCGCUCUCUGCAGGACCGUUGUACCAGCCAGAACGCAAGUGUCGCUGAGGCCGCCCUCUGGGCAGGCCCCAGUUAGGGGCAGGAGGUGCUCCCCCCUCUUUGCACAUCAGGGGAGAGUGUGAGCAUGGGGAAUGCUGGGGUGUGUUUGCCUAGCCUGGAGCAUGCAAUGCGCCAUUGGGAUAUGAUGGGCGACUGUGGGGAAGCCAGGCCUUUGACAGUGUGACAUGAGUGCAGCCUGCCUGGCUGCUGGGUUAGAAAGUCCUCAAUGGAGACAGAAUCACCCAGGCAGAGCUGUGUUUACAGCCUGCAUCCAGCCAGAAAUUCCAGCACAAAGAUAAAGGUGACCAGGGGCGUUAACCUCCCAGCCUAUUAUUCACCAUUUAAAUACAAUGCUGUCAUAAACAGAUAGCUAAGGGUUAAUGUCUCUUUCACCUGGAAAGGAGUAACCUGAAACACCUGACCAAAGGACCAACCAGGAAACAAGACUUCUUCAAAUCUGGGUGGAGGGAAGUUUUGGGUGUGAGUUCUUUGUCUUGUGUCUGUGCCCUCUCGGCUAUGAGAGUGAUUUUUCUAUCUCCUGGCUUUCUAAUCUUCUGUUUCCAAGUUCUAAGUACAAAGAUAGUAAGACCAUAGGUUUAUAUUGUUUUCUUUUGUAUUUACAUGUGUGUAGUUGCUGGAAUGUGUUAAAUUGUAUUCAUUUUGGAUAAGGCUGUUUAUUCAUUUUUUUUCUUUUGAGCAAAUGACCCUGUAUUUGUCACCUUAAUACAGAGAGACCAUUUUUAUGUCCUUUUCUUUCUUUUUAUAUAAAGCUUUCUUUUUAA